CUGCAUGGCUGUCGUCAGCUCGUGUCGUGAGAUGUUGGUUAAGUACCGCAACGAGCGCAACCCUUGUCAUUAGUUGCCAUCAUUUGGUUGGGCACUCUAAUGAGACUGCCGGUGACAAACCGGAGGAAGGUGGGGAUGACGUCAAGUCCUCAUGGCCCUUAUGGGUAGGGCUUCACACGUCAUACAAUGGUCGGUACAGAGGGUUGCCAACCCGCGAGGGGGAGCUAAUCCCACAAAGCCGAUCGUAGUCCGGAUCGCAGUCUGCAACUCGACUGCGUGAAGUCGGAAUCGCUAGUAAUCGUGGAUCAGCAUGUCACGGUGAAUACGUUCCCGGGUCUU
RNAcentral lists this ribosomal RNA (339 nucleotides) under uncultured Rhodocyclaceae bacterium. RNAcentral describes it as "bacterial SSU rRNA". It matches the Rfam family "Bacterial small subunit ribosomal RNA", at positions 1041 to 1382 of the family's 1533-position model. The record is from RNAcentral. Lineage: Bacteria; Pseudomonadati; Pseudomonadota; Betaproteobacteria; Rhodocyclales; Rhodocyclaceae.